UACAGAGGUCUCAAGCGUUGUUCGGAUUCAUUGGGCGUAAAGGGUGCGUAGGCGGCGCGGUAAGUCUGGAGUGAAAUUCCGGGGCUCAACUCCGGAGCUGCUUUGGAUACUGUCUUUCUAGGGACCGGUAGAGGCCGGUGGAAUUCCCGGUGUAGCGGUGGAAUGCGUAGAGAUCGGGAAGAACACCCGUGGCGAAGGCGGCCGGCUGGGCCGGAUCCGACGCUGAGGCGCGAAAGCGUGGGGAGCAAACAGG
Molecule: ribosomal RNA, 253 nt
Filed under: uncultured bacterium
Lineage: Bacteria
Description: partial 16S ribosomal RNA
Rfam family: Bacterial small subunit ribosomal RNA
Source: RNAcentral